This 73-nucleotide transfer RNA is filed under the name Staphylococcus hominis. RNAcentral describes it as "tRNA-Trp". It matches the Rfam family "tRNA". From Rfam's summary of the family: Transfer RNA (tRNA) molecules are approximately 80 nucleotides in length. Their secondary structure includes four short double-helical elements and three loops (D, anti-codon, and T loops). Lineage: Bacteria; Bacillati; Bacillota; Bacilli; Caryophanales; Staphylococcaceae. The record is from RNAcentral.
AGGGACAUAGUUCAACGGUAGAAUAGAGUCUCCAAAACCUUUGAUGUGGGUUCGAUUCCUACUGUCCCUGCCA